GAUGAACGCUGGCGGCGUGCCUAAUACAUGCAAGUCGAGCGAACAGACGAGGACCUUGCUCCUCUGACGUUAGCGGCGGACGGGUGAGUACCACGUGGAUAACCUACCUAUAAGACUGGGAUAACUUCGGUAAACCGGAGCUAAUACCGGAUAAUAUAUUGAACCUCAUGGUUCAAUAGUGAAAGACGGUAUUGCUGUCACUUAUAUAUGCAUCCGAGCCGCAUCAGCUAGGUGGUAAGGUAACGGCUUACCAAGGCAACGAUGCGUAGCCGACCUGAGAGGGUGAUCGGCCACACGGGAACUGAGACACGGUCCAGACUCCGACGGGAGGCAGCAGUAGGGACUCUUCCGCAAUGGACGAAAGCCUGACGGUGCAACGCCGCGGGAGUGCUGAAGGACUUCGGAUCGUAAAACUCUGUUAUUAGGGAAGAACAAAUGUGUAAGUAACUAUGCACGUCUUGACGGUACCUAAUCAGAAAGCCACGGCUAACUACGUG
This 497-nucleotide ribosomal RNA is filed under the name uncultured bacterium. Its description in RNAcentral is "partial 16S ribosomal RNA". It matches the Rfam family "Bacterial small subunit ribosomal RNA", at positions 28 to 507 of the family's 1533-position model. The record is from RNAcentral.